UCGAGCUGAUUAGAGAAAAAGCUUCUUGAUAAGUCUAGGCUAUAGUAUUAACUUUGCCAUUCGGCAUUUGCAUUCUCACUUUGAAGACGGUUGCACUGGAAACAACGAAAACGAAGAUAUUAUGAUUCUCAAAUUCACCUGUUACGUUGGACUUGCGUGCGUCCUUUUGUCUGCACUCCAAGGGACCUACUGCUUUUACUUCACAGAUAGCAAAGAACAUGAUUAUCCGCGCAUAGGAAGACGGAACCAAAUUGUUUCAACGAAAGCUCAUUUUGAUUUCGAAAACAAAGGGCUGGUGAAUUCUAAUAUACAGCUUCCCGGCAGCUCCGAUGUUAUAUUUGCCAACAAAAACAUAGAGGCACUGCUUCAAAGACUGAGCGUUCCAAUGGUAUCCUAUAGUGACGCCAGCAGAUUAAGCGAUGCGUGGCUACGUCGGAGGAGAAGUCUGUUGUCAUACCAGAAGUCACAGUAACUUCAAAACCGCUCCGUUUUGUGCAGGGGCAUGAACGUAGUGACGAUGUAAAGCAUCGACGUUGGGACAAAAACAUUUUUCCAUCUACGUUUAACAUACGUGAGCAUUUGGAUUGUGACGGAGGUUUGCGUCGAGUUUUUAGUUAUUUUCAAGAUAACAAGUUGUUUAUAAAUAGAAAAAUCAAUUUAGGUUGCUGUUGCCAAAUGUGUUUACCUGAACUAAAGCAAUAACAGAUUAAGAAAUUUGACCUUAUCUUUAUGCACGAUAACUUCCUAGAUAGACGGUAGUGCACGAAAUGCUAAACGGUUACACUGAAGACCUUUCACGCCGAGCGGUUUAUUUUAGUGAUAUAGUUAGUAUUGUUUGAGAGACUGAUGACAUAAUAGUCUGGUUGUUACGAAAAAAGAGUCACGUAAACGGAACCACCACAUUUGAGGUUUGUCAAUGAUUCAAAUUAACUACAUAAAGUGAACUUCUGACUGGAAGUAAAGUCCUUUCUAAAAGUAAACUGGUAUAAUCGUACCACUAACAUUUAAAUGUCUUUUUGAAUUUAAUUGUCACCAUAUGGCCCCAGUCAAAGACAUAUUUUAGACAUUUCUAUACCCAUUCGUUCUGUAUAAACCAAAGGGAAUGUAUCAUGCAUCAUGACAAACAAAGCGCAGUACACAUAUAUACAAGAAAUAUGUAGUACAGAUUAAUUUCCCUGGAUAUUUGAACAGAAAAAUUUUGAACCUUCUGGCAAUUGGGCGGACCGAAACU
Lingula anatina is the source of this 1231-nucleotide long non-coding RNA. The record is from RefSeq and is a predicted model, not a curated record. Lineage: Eukaryota; Metazoa; Brachiopoda; Lingulata; Lingulida; Lingulidae.